GACGGGCGGAAGGGCCUCAGCCGCAGCUUGGCGCCGCUCCCACUCCGCCCUCUGCCGCCAUCUUUGAAAGGGAUGCUAUUUGUGCUUAACCACUGGCUGCUGGCAGCGUUGGCUGCGGCUGUCUGAGCCGGGCUGGGGAGAUGAGGGACAGCAGUGCUCAGCAGCCCGCAUCUCUUGCCACCUGGAUCUGCAGCGUGAGGAAGAAGAAUUGCAAAGCUUUGAGCUUCUUUUGCUGAAUCUCACCCUGGUGUUUCACGCAUUGAAACUGAAAAGAAGCUGCAGCCUGCCUCACUUCGAGCAGCAGGUGGCUCCCUUUCCUCUGAAGUCUGGCUUGAGGAAGAGACUGGCCUCGUUCAUUCCAGUGCCGGCGCUCAUUCGGCAGUACAGGCAUAUUUCUGCUGUUCUGUCAUAGGAAGUGGACUGUUUUCUUUUAUUGCCUCUUUUAAAUGGUUUAAUGCCAUGUAUAAUAAAUACUGUACUUACCGUGGGUUGCUUAGAAAAUGAAGAUAGGAAAAAGGCCUGGGAAAAAACAUCAGCGGUGCUAACCUGAGUUGCAGCAUUUCUUUAUGGAGCAUUCUAAGAAGUUAUGAACUUUUAUAGGAUAUAUUUAAAAAGUUGUCUGAUUCUGA
Long non-coding RNA from Gallus gallus (chicken), 629 nucleotides. RefSeq lists it as uncharacterized. The transcript has 2 exons. NCBI's taxonomy places the organism in Eukaryota, Metazoa, Chordata, Aves, Galliformes, Phasianidae. The record is from RefSeq and is a predicted model, not a curated record.